This 248-nucleotide unclassified non-coding RNA is filed under the name fungal sp. Its description in RNAcentral is "partial internal transcribed spacer region". The stretch from base 1 to 46 matches the Rfam family "Eukaryotic small subunit ribosomal RNA", at positions 1786 to 1831 of the family's 1831-position model. Lineage: Eukaryota; Fungi. The record is from RNAcentral.
AAGUCGUAACAAGGUUUCCGUAGGUGAACCUGCGGAAGGAUCAUUACCAAGUUUAAUCCAAAAAACACUCAACCCAUGUGCACUAUGCUUUGUCUGUCUUUGGGGUGGAAAGAAUCUAGAGGGUCUAAUAUACUUGGCCACUAGUUGAUUUCGCCCCACAUUUGUAAACAUCCUUUUUAUUUUCUAUUGGAAUCUUACUUGUCUUAAUAAACAAUAGACAACUUUUAACGGUGGAUCUCUUGGCUCGU